This 557-nucleotide ribosomal RNA is filed under the name uncultured bacterium. Its description in RNAcentral is "bacterial SSU rRNA". It matches the Rfam family "Bacterial small subunit ribosomal RNA", at positions 102 to 694 of the family's 1533-position model. The record is from RNAcentral.
ACGGGUGAGUAACGCGUGGGAACAUACCCUUUUCUACGGAAUAGCUCUGGGAAACUGGAGUUAAUACCGUAUACGCCCUACGGGGGAAAGAUUUAUCGGGGAAGGAUUGGCCCGCGUUGGAUUAGCUAGUUGGUGGGGUAAAGGCCUACCAAGGCGACGAUCCAUAGCUGGUCUGAGAGGAUGAUCAGCCACAUUGGGACUGAGACACGGCCCAAACUCCUACGGGAGGCAGCAGUGGGGAAUAUUGGACAAUGGGCGCAAGCCUGAUCCAGCCGUGCCGCGUGAGUGAUGAAGGCCUUAGGGUUGUAAAGCUCUUUCACCGAUGAAGAUAAUGACGGUAGUCGGAGAAGAAGCCCCGGCUAACUUCGUGCCAGCAGCCGCGGUAAUACGAAGGGGGCUAGCGUUGUUCGGAAUUACUGGGCGUAAAGCGCACGUAGGCGGAUAUUUAAGUCAGGGGUGAAAUCCCAGAGCUCAACUCUGGAACUGCCUUUGAUACUGGGUAUCUUGAGUAUGGAAGAGGUAAGUGGAAUUGCGAGUGUAGAGGUGAAAUUCGUAGA